Molecule: long non-coding RNA, 1612 nt
Filed under: Canis lupus dingo (dingo)
Lineage: Eukaryota; Metazoa; Chordata; Mammalia; Carnivora; Canidae
Description: lncRNA (ENSCAFG00020005838.1)
Source: RNAcentral
CCCCCCAAUAUCCUGAUGGUACAUCCUGCUCGGGAAGACAUUAAAAUCUGCGAUUUUGGCUUUGCCCAAAACAUCACCCCAGGAGAGCCACAGUACAGCAAGUAUGGCUCCCCAGAAUUUGUGUCUCCCGAGAUCAUCGAGCAGACCCCAGUGAGCGAGGCCUCCGACAUCUGGUGAGUGAGUGGGUGCCUGGGGAGGCCAGCUUCCAUGCCAGCAGCCCCCCAGCACACACACCCCACAACCUCGAGCACACCCUGUGACUGUGGUUUUGUUCCUGCAGGUCCAUGGGCGUCAUCUCCUACCUCAGGUGAGCAGACCCAAGCCUACCGCAGGUGAGCAGACCCAAGCCUUUGUCAGCCACCUCCUCUGAAGCCAACCCCAGACCCCCUCCCCAUCAUGCCCAGGGGAGGCCUUGAGCACUACUGGCCACUCCCCAGAUCAAAGAUCCAGGACCCCAAGGGCAGCUAUUAUGGGAACCAGCGGUCAGCCAACUGAUAAGGGGUUUCUGCUGAGCUCUUUUCUUACACGCACUGUCCCAGAGAAGCUCUGUGGAGUCACCAGGCAAAGCAGUGAGCUGUUUCCCUAAAGGGUCUGGGUAGUUUGCUGGAGGGCCCCUUCCACCAAUUACUGCUAUUCUGAGCAUGUUGCUGGUGUAGACCUCACCUGGAUCCCACCUCAAGCUAAGCCUUGAUCCCUGUCCUGGGCUGAGCCUGGAUCUCUGGGCAAGUCUCAGACCAUUGUGGGAAUCCUGGGGUCUGGAUGGCCAUGGCACUGUGGCCACCCAGGCAGGAGUGGGGCCCCCGUACAAGUUCUGGCUUCUAUGGAUCACAAGUCCAGGUCACAUCUGAAGGCAAGUCAUGUCUCUGCCUCUAGCCUGACCUGCUCAUCACCAUUCGCUGGUGAGAGUGACCGAGCCACACUCCUGAACGUGCUGGAGGGGCGGGUGUCCUGGAACAGCCCCAUGACUGCCCACCUCAGCAAGGAUGCCCAGGACUUCAUCAAGGCUACCCUGCAAAGGGCCCCAAAGUGAGUGCACAGCACCCUCCACCUGUUGCCUCAUCUGGGGUUCUCUUAGGCGGAGGCCUGGGGCAGCUGGCCACCUGGCCUGAUCCCCGGCCCUCCUCUCUCACUAGGGCCCGGCCCAGCGCAGCCAAAUGCCUCACACACCCCUGGUUCCAGGUGAGUAGGCUGGGUCCAAGCAGAUGUGCACAGGGGGCCAAUCUGAGGGGGGGAGGGGAGGCCUGUGUGGACCCAGGGUGCACUGGGGCCCCCCUUAUCGCCCCUCUCACCUGGGCCCCCUCAGACUUCCGUGCCCGCGGAGGAGGCCCACUUCAUCAACACCAAGCAACUCAAGUUUCUGCUGGCCCGCAGCCGCUGGCAGCGCUCCCUGAUGAGCUACAAGUCCAUCCUGGUGAUGCGCUCCAUCCCCGAGCUGCUCCGGGGCCCGCCCGACAGCCCGUCCCUCGGGGUGGCGCGGCACCUGCGCGGUGGCGCCAGCGCCUCCUCCAGCAGCUCGUCCUCCUCCUCCGACAACGAGCUGGCCCCUUUCGCCCGGGCCAAGUCGCUGCCGCCGUCUCCGGUGACCCACUCGCCGCUGCUGCACCCGCGGGGC